CCUGCGUCUGCGGCUCUCAGGCAACAGAGGAAGUAGGGACAGGAUCUGCAGCGCUGGCCAGGGUCCCGGUGCUGCAGUGUACAGUGCGGCCAUGCAAGCUGACUUUCCAGCGACCACCAACACGUUGCCUGCACAGGAAGAUGGCAGGCCAUCCCUCACCAACAACACUCCUGCACUGCAUGGCGUCGAUGGGCAAGCAUAGUAUAUGUUACUCCUAGGCUGCAGUCUUUCCAGCCUUCUGCGUCGCUGGCCUGUUGCAUUGUGUCUCAGGAUGAGGGAAACACACUAGCAGUGCCAGCACUGUGUUACGGACAAGAGCCACACCAGAGCGGAGUGCGCUGGGCAGUUGCUGCCUCCAUGCCUUUACCCUCAUCCAGAAAGUCCCACACGUCGGGAUGUUGAUCCCUCCACCCCACAAUAUCCCUCGUGUUGCAAUGUGCUGGCGUGUCAGUCCUUCUCUGGCCUUACGCACGAUUGAAUUCUUGGCAACAUAACCACUUGUAAGAUUGAAGUAUAAAGCAGAAAACGGUGAUACACAUCCUGUUAUGUCUUCAGGGUUGAAGACACUAGUAAUUUCACAAUCCUCCUGCACCUAGUCAACACGUGCAGCAAGCUUCAAGCCCAAAAGACGCGCUCUAAGUUUUCUCCGCCGAG
Molecule: long non-coding RNA, 654 nt
Filed under: Coccomyxa subellipsoidea
Lineage: Eukaryota; Viridiplantae; Chlorophyta; Trebouxiophyceae; Coccomyxaceae
Description: long non-coding RNA (CSUB_LNC000045)
Source: RNAcentral